Molecule: transfer RNA, 72 nt
Filed under: Lasioglossum sp. SJW-2017
Lineage: Eukaryota; Metazoa; Arthropoda; Insecta; Hymenoptera; Halictidae
Description: tRNA-Leu
Source: RNAcentral
UUUAAUAUGGCAGAGUAGUGCAAUGAACUUAAGAUUCAUUUAUAAAAUUCUUUAUUUAAAUUUUUAUUAAAA